UCCUCCGUGGCGCAAUUGGCUAGCGCGUUCGACUGUUACAACGACAGGGUAUCGAGAGGUUGACAGUUCAAGCCUGUCCGGGGGAG
RNAcentral lists this transfer RNA (86 nucleotides) under Xylaria curta. RNAcentral's name for it is "tRNA-Asn". RNAcentral also lists the same sequence under 1 other name. The record is from RNAcentral. Lineage: Eukaryota; Fungi; Ascomycota; Sordariomycetes; Xylariales; Xylariaceae.